AUGCCAUAAGGAUAUUGCUCCGAAAUUGAAAUGAUGCUUUUAUACGCAAUUCUGAGCUAAUG
RNAcentral lists this small nucleolar RNA (62 nucleotides) under Morus notabilis. Its description in RNAcentral is "Small nucleolar RNA U54". It matches the Rfam family "Small nucleolar RNA U54". Lineage: Eukaryota; Viridiplantae; Streptophyta; Magnoliopsida; Rosales; Moraceae. The record is from Rfam by way of RNAcentral.